UGAAGUUACCUAUACUACAUUUCAGCGAACAAUGUAGUUAUACAUACAGUAUAUACAUAUAUAUGUAUGUCGUAUAGGCACCGGCCGACAAAAAAAAAUAAAAAAAAAAAAUAACCUCUCGAUUCGCUGCGACCGAGACUUUGGAAUCCGCGCACAAUGUGGAUUUGGGUUGAUCGGUUUUUUUGAUUUUUUUUUUUUUUUUGUCUGAUUUUUUUAUGGCCUUCGUACGAAACACAACGGCUAAAGUUCAACUGAGUGUUUCGCGAAUAAAAUAUGCGUUACACUAUUAUACGGAACGACUAAUGGUUUAUGUAUUAAAAUAGUAAUAACAUAAUAUA
Cinara cedri is the source of this 338-nucleotide non-coding RNA. The record is from the annotation of a GenBank genome assembly. NCBI's taxonomy places the organism in Eukaryota, Metazoa, Arthropoda, Insecta, Hemiptera, Aphididae.